RNAcentral lists this ribosomal RNA (469 nucleotides) under uncultured Pseudomonas sp. RNAcentral describes it as "bacterial SSU rRNA". It matches the Rfam family "Bacterial small subunit ribosomal RNA", at positions 916 to 1381 of the family's 1533-position model. Lineage: Bacteria; Pseudomonadati; Pseudomonadota; Gammaproteobacteria; Pseudomonadales; Pseudomonadaceae. The record is from RNAcentral.
GACGGGGCCCGCACAAGCGGUGGAGCAUGUGGUUAAUUCGAAGCAACGCGAAGAACCUUACCAGGCCUUGACAUGCAGAGAACUUUCCAGAGAUGGAUUGGUGCCUUCGGGAACUCUGACACAGGUGCUGCACGGCUGUCGUCAGCUCGUGUCGCGAGAUGUUGGGUUAAGUCCCGCAACGAGCGCAACCCUUGUCCUUAGUUACCAGCACGUUAUGGUGGGCACUCUAAGGAGACUGCCGGUGACAAACCGGAGGAAGGUGGGGAUGACGUCAAGUCAUCAUGGCCCUUACGGCCUGGGCUACACACGUGCUACAAUGGUCGGUACAAAGGGUUGCCAAGCCGCGAGGUGGAGCUAAUCCCAUAAAACCGAUCGUAGUCCGGAUCGCAGUCUGCAACUCGACUGCGUGAAGUCGGAAUCGCUAGUAAUCGUGAAUCAGAAUGUCACGGUGAAUACGUUCCCGGGCCUU